CCUACGGGAGGCAGCAGUGAGGAAUAUUGGUCAAUGGACGAGAGUCUGAACCAGCCAAGUAGCGUGAAGGAUGACUGCCCUAUGGGUUGUAAACUUCUUUUAUAUGGGAAUAAAACGUUCCACGUGUGGGAUUUUGUAUGUACCAUAUGAAUAAGGAUAGGCUAACUCCGUGCCAGCAGCCGCGGUAAUACGGAGGAUCCGAGCGUUAUCCGGAUUUAUUGGGUUUAAAGGGAGCGUAGGUGGAUUGUUAAGUCAGUUGUGAAAGUUUGCGGCUCAACCGUAAAAUUGCAGUUGAUACUGGCAGUCUUGAGUACAGUAGAGGUGGGCGGAAUUCGUGGUGUAGCGGUGAAAUGCUUAGAGAUCACGAAGAACUCCGAUUGCGAAGGCAGUUCACUGGACUGCAACUGACACUGAGGCUCGAAAGUGUGGGUAUCAAACAGGAUUAGAUACCCCAGUAGUC
This 460-nucleotide ribosomal RNA is filed under the name uncultured bacterium. RNAcentral describes it as "partial 16S ribosomal RNA". It matches the Rfam family "Bacterial small subunit ribosomal RNA", at positions 338 to 795 of the family's 1533-position model. The record is from RNAcentral.